RNAcentral lists this long non-coding RNA (1423 nucleotides) under Equus caballus (horse). Its description in RNAcentral is "lncRNA (ENSECAG00000053446.1)". The record is from RNAcentral. Lineage: Eukaryota; Metazoa; Chordata; Mammalia; Perissodactyla; Equidae.
GAAUCAGGCACCGAGCGCCUUGUAUCCUGAUUAGCUGGCAAGUCUAUUCUUUCUCCCAUGGCACAGAAGACCCCAGAAGGGUUUUAAGUCAGGAGGUGACGUGACUGGAGGUGCAACACCAGCUGGCCACGGGAUGGAGGCAGGGUCCCUGGCCUUACACAGCGCUCACCCCAGGCCCUGCUGGCCCAGCACACAGCAGGUGAGGCUUGGGAAAACUCUUCCAGCCUUCUCUGAUCGGCCCACUUCCGCCCCUCUGGAGCCUGGGAGCCCUGCCCUCUGGAAUAACCCAGCUCCACGUCUCCUAGAGCCGGACCUUGGUAAACAAAAGCCUCGACUGGGGGAAUGUCUUUGGUGCCUGGCAACCUCUGUUUUCGGCCUGGCAACCCCAAAGCCUUUAACAGCCUCAGUCCCCACCCCCAGGCACAAAGGAGGAAACAUACCCACAGCAAGGAGACCAAAAUGCAAAUUACGACCUCAAUAUGUUUCUCUGCAGCCUAGUCAGAGCACUGCGGUGGCAACAACCCACUGAGGCACUGAAUUAAACAAAAAAGGGUUGAGGUUAUGAAAGGAGAGGUUCCAGCUAGAGUUCAAGAAAGUUUUCCAGACCUGCCUGCAGAGAAUUAAACGCAGACACUGUGAAGCCUCAGCAUGAAGUCUUAUUAGUAGCUGAGUGCCUGAAACUUGUAAGUGCCCGUCCCAUCCUUCAAGAACCAGCUCAGAUGCCUCCUCUCUGGGAAGCCUUUCCUGCGCCCCCAAGGCUGUUGGUCACUGGAGAGCCCUGAGAGCAGGCAUUAUACUGCAUCCCAUUUGUAUAUUUUGUAUCCCUUUCUAUCUCAUAAAUGGGGCAGGAAUUCAAUCAAGACCUGAGUCAAUUAUUUUAUUUAUACUGAGAACUUCUGUGGCAGUCUCUGUGCUAGGGGAAUACGGAGGACACAGGACACAAUGCACAGUCCAGUUCAGGGAGAACCAAUGAAUGGAGUUGGUACAAUGCUAGCGUUGGGGUUUGAGAGUGAUACUUACACCCCCUCCCCAAGUUCAGGCCAGCUGAGAGGUAUGCACACAGGCCCAUCAGGCAGGAGGAGGGAGAGCCAAGUCAGCUUUAUUGGUAGCUGCUGGUAUUUGGACCUAAGCUCAAAAAAAUUUGCCCUCUCAUGUCUAGAUCUUGAGAAGACCCACCCAAGGGACAGUCUGGAUCUGCAGGACAGACAUACCUACCCAGUCUUUGGGCCAACCCUGAGAAUGGGGUCAGCGAGGUAGUUCUCCAGAUUUGCCUCUAGAAAUCUGAGUGGAGCCCUGGCCAUGUGUUCACCACAUCAAGGACAGGAGCGGGAAGGUGUGAAAAGGGAGUGGAGCCCAGGUCUUAUUUGCCUGUUGAAGCUUCUCUCAAUCUCCUCGAUCCCAUAAAACAUUCCUUCUCCCCAGG